This is a long non-coding RNA of Hermetia illucens (black soldier fly), 500 nucleotides long. RefSeq lists it as uncharacterized. The transcript has 3 exons. The record is from RefSeq and is a predicted model, not a curated record. NCBI's taxonomy places the organism in Eukaryota, Metazoa, Arthropoda, Insecta, Diptera, Stratiomyidae.
AAACGCCAAAAUGACUUUUAAAUUGUCAGUUUCUUACAGAACUUAGGAAAAAGAAAAUGUUUAAAGAAUUUCGUCUAUAAAAUUAUUAAAACGGGUAAAUUUCCCUUGAAAAAUAAAAAAAUAUUUAAAAUUAGAUAAUUUUAAGAAGAAGGUAAAUUCCAUGUAAAUGUCCGGAAUUGUAAAUAAAUUAUUCGUGAGCCAUUAAAUCCUUAAAGUUUAAGUCGAAAAUUUAAGGUGAAGAUUCCUCCUGCAAAGAGGGGAGGUCGCUGAAAGUGAAGAAGUAAUUUAAAGUAUGGGAAAAGAGUGCUGCAAGCCAUGUCCCUGUGUUGAGUCCAUGUGCCCUCCUUGCGAUCAAGAAGUUCAUCGAUGUCGCAGUAGAGAGCUUCGGGCCUCCAUUCUUUACAUAUCUUGCGACUGCAUUAAAAGAAAUGGUUUACAGCAGGACUGCCAACGUAGCGAAUGUCAAGGAAAACCCUGCUGCUUGGUAAAGCCGUUUCCAC